CCUACGGGUGACAGCAGUGAGGAAUAUUGGUCAAUGGGCGUAAGCCUGAACCAGCCAAGUCGCGUGAGGGAUGAAGGUUCUAUGGAUCGUAAACCUCUUUUAUAAGGGAAUAAAGUGUGGGACGUGUCCUGUUUUGUAUGUACCUUAUGAAUAAGGAUCGGCUAACUCCGUGCCAGCAGCCGCGGUAAUACGGAGGAUCCGAGCGUUAUCCGGAUUUAUUGGGUUUAAAGGGUGCGUAGGCGGCCUGUUAAGUCAGCGGUGAAAGGCUGUGGCUCAACCAUAGAAUUGCAGUUGAAACUGGGAGGCUGGAGUGUGUUUGAGGCAGGCGGAAUGCGUGGUGUAGCGGUGAAAUGCUUAGAUAUCACGCAGAACCCCGAUUGCGAAGGCAGCCUACCAAGCCGUAACUGACGCUGAUGCACGAAAGCGUGGGGAUCAAACAGGAUUAGAUACCCGAGUAGUC
RNAcentral lists this ribosomal RNA (460 nucleotides) under uncultured bacterium. RNAcentral's name for it is "partial 16S ribosomal RNA". It matches the Rfam family "Bacterial small subunit ribosomal RNA", at positions 338 to 795 of the family's 1533-position model. The record is from RNAcentral.